Arachis ipaensis is the source of this 1003-nucleotide RNA transcript. It is a transcript of the gene named tyrosine sulfotransferase-like protein, with no coding region annotated. Lineage: Eukaryota; Viridiplantae; Streptophyta; Magnoliopsida; Fabales; Fabaceae. The record is from RefSeq and is a predicted model, not a curated record.
GAAAAGAGUACUUUUUUGUUUGAGUCUUUGAGAGUCUCUUAAUUCCUUGGAAAUAAUUAUCAGAAAUAUUUAAAGUUUUUUCCCCACAAAAAUGUUAUAUUUUUCUUUGUCCUUAAAGAACCUAUUUAUACUUUUUCGCAUAGACAAAUCCGUGAUUGUAUUAGGGUUUGGAGUUGGGGACAGAGUCUCAGUGCGGGUUGCGACUUGCGAGCUCCAAGAUACUUCGUUUCGUCAAUCUUCUCUUGAUUCCGUUCAGGAACACAACGCUCUUGGAACACUGAAAGACGGUAGAAAUUGAAAAGAAAGAAAGAGAAGGUUGUUAUGGCGGGGCAGGCAGGGAAAGCUGCAGCUGGUAAUGUGGCGAAGGCGGUAGCGGCAGCGGAGUAUCAGUAUCCGUGGCGUGAGAAGUUGGCUAAAUACAAGGAUGAACUUGCCAAGGGUGUGUGGGGGUACUGGGAGCUGGGGGCAUGGAAGCCCCUCAGCAUCAGCGCCAGGCGGAGGGCUAGGCUUCGCAAGGAAGUUCUUCUUGCUGGGGAAGAUUGGCAGUUUGAUCCGGAAAGGAAGGAGAUGAGAACAAGGAGGAAAGGGCACAAGUGCGAUAGGAUAGCCGCGGAGAAGAGGGAGAACACGGCCAGGUUGAUGGAGAAGAUGCCGGAAAUGUUGCUAGAUUACAAGAAGAGAAGGUGGCAGAAGAAGAUGAAGGAAGAAGACAAAGGCAAACUGUGAUUUUGCUUGUCAUUCUUUUUGCUCAAAUCUGCCUAUGCAAAUUUAUAUACUUGCUUUAGGUAGUAGCUGGUCUAGUCUAGUCCCUUCCGAGGCAUCUCAAAGACAUCCGCAUGCUUCCUCGAUACGUUGUUGAAACUCAAAGCUAAGUGUACUGUUGUUCAAUCUUUUUCUUCCAUAUCAUUGAUAAUGUUGCCUUCUAUUACAGUGAUUGAAUUUUGAUAUUGACGAAUAGCUCUGCAAAAUACUUAAGCAUAGUCUACUUCAUCUUUUCAGUUAA